GGUUAAGCGACUAAGCGUACACGGUGGAUGCCCUGGCAGUCAGAGGCGAUGAAGGACGUGCUAAUCUGCGAUAAGCGUCGGUAAGGUGAUAUGAACCGUUAUAACCGGCGAUUUCCGAAUGGGGAAACCCAGUGUGAUUCGUCACACUAUCAUUAACUGAAUCCAUAGGUUAAUGAGGCGAACCGGGGGAACUGAAACAUCUAAGUACCCCGAGGAAAAGAAAUCAACCGAGAUUCCCCCAGUAGCGGCGAGCGAACGGGGAGCAGCCCAGAGCCUGAAUCAGUGUGUGUGUUAGUGGAAGCGUCUGGAAAGGCGUGCGAUACAGGGUGACAGCCCCGUACACAAAAAUGCACAUAUUGUGAGCUCGAUGAGUAGGGCGGGACACGUGGUAUCCUGUCUGAAUAUGGGGGGACCAUCCUCCAAGGCUAAAUACUCCUGACUGACCGAUAGUGAACCAGUACCGUGAGGGAAAGGCGAAAAGAACCCCGGCGAGGGGAGUGAAAAAGAACCUGAAACCGUGUACGUACAAGCAGUGGGAGCACGCUUAGGCGUGUGACUGCGUACCUUUUGUAUAAUGGGUCAGCGACUUAUAUUCUGUAGCAAGGUUAACCGAAUAGGGGAGCCGAAGGGAAACCGAGUCUUAACUGGGCGUUAAGUUGCAGGGUAUAGACCCGAAACCCGGUGAUCUAGCCAUGGGCAGGUUGAAGGUUGGGUAACACUAACUGGAGGACCGAACCGACUAAUGUUGAAAAAUUAGCGGAUGACUUGUGGCUGGGGGUGAAAGGCCAAUCAAACCGGGAGAUAGCUGGUUCUCCCCGAAAGCUAUUUAGGUAGCGCCUCGUGAAUUCAUCUCCGGGGGUAGAGCACUGUUUCGGCAAGGGGGUCAUCCCGACUUACCAACCCGAUGCAAACUGCGAAUACCGGAGAAUGUUAUCACGGGAGACACACGGCGGGUGCUAACGUCCGUCGUGAAGAGGGAAACAACCCAGACCGCCAGCUAAGGUCCCAAAGUCAUGGUUAAGUGGGAAACGAUGUGGGAAGGCCCAGACAGCCAGGAUGUUGGCUUAGAAGCAGCCAUCAUUUAAAGAAAGCGUAAUAGCUCACUGGUCGAGUCGGCCUGCGCGGAAGAUGUAACGGGGCUAAACCAUGCACCGAAGCUGCGGCAGCGACGCUUAUGCGUUGUUGGGUAGGGGAGCGUUCUGUAAGCCUGCGAAGGUGUGCUGUGAGGCAUGCUGGAGGUAUCAGAAGUGCGAAUGCUGACAUAAGUAACGAUAAAGCGGGUGAAAAGCCCGCUCGCCGGAAGACCAAGGGUUCCUGUCCAACGUUAAUCGGGGCAGGGUGAGUCGACCCCUAAGGCGAGGCCGAAAGGCGUAGUCGAUGGGAAACAGGUUAAUAUUCCUGUACUUGGUGUUACUGCGAAGGGGGACGGAGAAGGCUAUGUUGGCCGGGCGACGGUUGUCCCGGUUUAAGCGUGUAGGCUGGUUUUCCAGGCAAAUCCGGAAAACUAAGGCUGAGGCGUGAUGACGAGGCACUACGGUGCUGAAGCAACAAAUGCCCUGCUUCCAGGAAAAGCCUCUAAGCAUCAGGUAACAUCAAAUCGUACCCCAAACCGACACAGGUGGUCAGGUAGAGAAUACCAAGGCGCUUGAGAGAACUCGGGUGAAGGAACUAGGCAAAAUGGUGCCGUAACUUCGGGAGAAGGCACGCUGAUAUGUAGGUGAAGCGACUUGCUCGUGGAGCUGAAAUCAGUCGAAGAUACCAGCUGGCUGCAACUGUUUAUUAAAAACACAGCACUGUGCAAACACGAAAGUGGACGUAUACGGUGUGACGCCUGCCCGGUGCCGGAAGGUUAAUUGAUGGGGUUAGCGCAAGCGAAGCUCUUGAUCGAAGCCCCGGUAAACGGCGGCCGUAACUAUAACGGUCCUAAGGUAGCGAAAUUCCUUGUCGGGUAAGUUCCGACCUGCACGAAUGGCGUAAUGAUGGCCAGGCUGUCUCCACCCGAGACUCAGUGAAAUUGAACUCGCUGUGAAGAUGCAGUGUACCCGCGGCAAGACGGAAAGACCCCGUGAACCUUUACUAUAGCUUGACACUGAACAUUGAGCCUUGAUGUGUAGGAUAGGUGGGAGGCUUUGAAGUGUGGACGCCAGUCUGCAUGGAGCCGACCUUGAAAUACCACCCUUUAAUGUUUGAUGUUCUAACGUUGACCCGUGAUCCGGGUUGCGGACAGUGUCUGGUGGGUAGUUUGACUGGGGCGGUCUCCUCCUAAAGAGUAACGGAGGAGCACGAAGGUUGGCUAAUCCUGGUCGGACAUCAGGAGGUUAGUGCAAUGGCAUAAGCCAGCUUGACUGCGAGCGUGACGGCGCGAGCAGGUGCGAAAGCAGGUCAUAGUGAUCCGGUGGUUCUGAAUGGAAGGGCCAUCGCUCAACGGAUAAAAGGUACUCCGGGGAUAACAGGCUGAUACCGCCCAAGAGUUCAUAUCGACGGCGGUGUUUGGCACCUCGAUGUCGGCUCAUCACAUCCUGGGGCUGAAGUAGGUCCCAAGGGUAUGGCUGUUCGCCAUUUAAAGUGGUACGCGAGCUGGGUUUAGAACGUCGUGAGACAGUUCGGUCCCUAUCUGCCGUGGGCGCUGGAGAACUGAGGGGGCUGCUCCUAGUACGAGAGGACCGGAGUGGACGCAUCACUGGUGUUCGGGUUGUCAUGCCAAUGGCACUGCCCGGUAGCUAAAUGCGGAAGAGAUAAGUGCUGAAAGCAUCUAAGCACGAAACUUGCCCCGAGAUGAGUUCUCCCUGACUCCUUGAGAGUCCUGAAGGAACGUUGAAGACGACGACGUUGAUAGGCCGGGUGUGUAAGCGCAGCGAUGCGUUGAGCUAACCGGUACUAAUGAACCGUGAGGCUUAACCUU
RNAcentral lists this ribosomal RNA (2902 nucleotides) under Escherichia coli. Its description in RNAcentral is "23S ribosomal RNA". It matches the Rfam family "Bacterial large subunit ribosomal RNA". Lineage: Bacteria; Pseudomonadati; Pseudomonadota; Gammaproteobacteria; Enterobacterales; Enterobacteriaceae. The record is from RNAcentral.